Long non-coding RNA from Megalops cyprinoides (Indo-Pacific tarpon), 222 nucleotides. RefSeq lists it as uncharacterized. The transcript is spliced from 3 exons. NCBI's taxonomy places the organism in Eukaryota, Metazoa, Chordata, Actinopteri, Elopiformes, Megalopidae. The record is from RefSeq and is a predicted model, not a curated record.
GCUAGAGCUUUCCCGUCGUUUCACAUGCUCUUUCUCCCUCUCUCUCACUCUACGAUGCACACUGAUGGCAUAAAAAUGGUGAAACUUGUUAUAAUGACCCUUGCCCUGCUACUAUUCAGUACUGAUGUCUCCGCUCUGGAAGUUCUGUCCACUCCCGUCCUUCCAAACCACACCCUCCCAACGUCCCCGUCUUGCACCCCAUGUCCCCCGCCAGCGACGUGC